GAGACAGCAGUCGCCGCGGGAAUACGUAGGUCCCGAGCGUUGUCCGGAUUUAUUGGGCGUAAAGGGAGCGCAGGCGGUUUAGUAAGUCUGAAGUUAAAGGCAUUGGCUCAACCAAUGUAUGCUUUGGAAACUGUUAGACUUGAGUGCAGAAGGGGAGAGUGGAAUUCCAUGUGUAGCGGUGAAAUGCGUAGAUAUAUGGAGGAACACCGGUGGCGAAAGCGGCUCUCUGGCUUGUAACUGACGCUGAGGCUCGAAAGCGUGGGGAGCAAACAGGAUUAGAUACCCCGGUAGUCCCUGUCUCUUAUACA
Molecule: ribosomal RNA, 308 nt
Filed under: uncultured bacterium
Lineage: Bacteria
Description: partial 16S ribosomal RNA
Rfam family: Bacterial small subunit ribosomal RNA
Source: RNAcentral